Molecule: long non-coding RNA, 1066 nt
Filed under: Mus musculus (house mouse)
Lineage: Eukaryota; Metazoa; Chordata; Mammalia; Rodentia; Muridae
Description: long non-coding RNA chr8:40650477-40651543
Source: RNAcentral
UGGGUUCCCCCACCUGUGGUUGGAGGAAUGUUAAUUAGCCUCUCCCUUCCCGGAGGGGAGGGGUGCUCAAGUGUUAGUUCCUGAGCUGACCUCUUCACCAUCCCCCAUGAGGUGGUACUGAGUUCUGUAAGAAAGCAAGCUGAACAAGCCCAGAGAAGCAAGCAGCGCUACUCCAAGGUGCCUUUCAUGGGCUUCUGCCUGCAGAUUCUGUCCUGCAGGGUUCCUGCCCACACUGCUUUUGAUAAUGAACUGUUUGGAACUGCUUUGGUCGGGGCGUUUCAUCUCAGCAAUAGUAGCCCUAAGACACCAUCCACCUUACAAUCGCACUAAUAGAGAAACCAGUAGGCAUUCAGGAAGAAAACUGAACGAAGCCUAUACAGUAAGUCUAAGAAACUCAGCUCUUUGUACUUUUAUUUUUAAAUCCUUCCUCAGCAGCUACUGGGUUGCAAAUACUCUAAGCCUUUGCUUGUGUGCUGUUAACAACCUUGCAGACUACCUCUUGAUCCUUUCAUAUCAUCUAGACGUUUGAAUUUGUUCCAACCUGCUUAACCCGUUUAAUGAAACAGCCAAUAGCUGAUUGGCCCCGUGGCUCCACAGCAAGAGGUAAUUACUGCUUAGUUGGCUGCCUGCUCAGUAUACUCAGCUGCAUAUUGCUUUCUGAAGCCUGGGGGAAUCUUGUAAUUGCCCUUUGGUGACAGCAGUCAUUUCCUGCCCGGAUUUUUAAACUUAACUAUGAUCCUGCCACAUCUCUUUGGAAGCUGUAGCUGUUGUGCAGUGUUACCAUUGAGUCAUUUUGGAUCUGUCCGCCAUGUGGAUAGCAUAGACUCCCAAGACAUUGGUCCCACAUUCUCCUUUGAAGAGACAACUCUAAAAGGGAUUUGAUUUGCAAAAUUUCCCAGCCAAUGAUCUCACCAAGAGGGGAGAAAAUAGAGUUAUAUGAACAGGUGUAUUCACGAAAUCCUUGCUCUCGGUGAACUGAUGAGUCUUUCAACCUGCCUGCCACAUCAUUUCAAAUGUGUUGCUACUGAGAAGACUACAUGCCCACUGCCUUUAAUCUUCACAAGCU